GACGAACGCUGGCGGCGUGCUUAACACAUGCAAGUCGAACGGUGAACCAGGGCUUGCCCUGGGGAUCAGUGGCGAGCGGGUGAGUAACACGUGGGCAACCUGCCCCUGACUCUGGGAUAACUCCUCGAAAGAGGUGCUAAUACCGGAUACGACCACUUCGGGCAUCCGAUGGUGGUGGAAAGAAUUUUGGUCAGGGAUGGGCCCGCGGCCUAUCAGCUUGUUGGUGGGGUAACGGCCCACCAAGGCGACGACGGGUAGCCGGCCUGAGAGGGCGACCGGCCACACUGGGACUGAGACACGGCCCAGACUCCUACGGGAGGCAGCAGUGGGAAAUAUUGCGCAAUGGGCGAAAGCCUGACGCAGCGACGCCGCGUGAGGGACGAC
This 384-nucleotide ribosomal RNA is filed under the name uncultured bacterium. RNAcentral describes it as "bacterial SSU rRNA". It matches the Rfam family "Bacterial small subunit ribosomal RNA", at positions 28 to 412 of the family's 1533-position model. The record is from RNAcentral.